RNAcentral lists this unclassified non-coding RNA (352 nucleotides) under fungal sp. RNAcentral's name for it is "partial internal transcribed spacer region". The stretch from base 1 to 45 matches the Rfam family "Eukaryotic small subunit ribosomal RNA", at positions 1786 to 1831 of the family's 1831-position model. Lineage: Eukaryota; Fungi. The record is from RNAcentral.
AAGUCGUAACAAGGUUCCGUAGGUGAACCUGCGGAAGGAUCAUUAACACGUAUCCAACGUUAAACAACCCUGUGAACUUUCAACCCCGCCGGAAUGAGAUUAAUUUCCAACUCCGGCGAAGACAAGUGACCUGGCACCUGACCUCAUCAAAGCUCUGACAGCGUGCCUCUGGAUGCUUAAUGGAAGGGUGACGCAGUAACGAUCGCUGGAGGCCCACACGGCCGGCGACCGGGUCAGCGGCAUUCUUUAAUGCCCCUUAAAACCACUUAACAUGACGACAGUUCCUCUUUAACUUGAGUUGAGCUAUAACAAAAAACUAAUACAACUGUUAACAAUGGAUAUCUUGGUUCUC